UCAACUCGUGAUGCAUGAAAUGGAUAGCUAAAGGCCAAAGAAGAAGAAAUAACUCAAUUUUUUCAAUGGGACGACCGGAACAGCAACAAUGGACGCAGAAAUUAUUUGAUCCAAAGAAUACCUCCCACGGAAUUUGUCCACCACAUCCUUGAGGACUAAGGACCAAACCGGAGAACCUUAAAGGAAAGGACAGAACGGAAAGGACAGGUCUUCGCCCAGGGACUAACAGGAACCCCCCACACACACAAUGCCCAUCCGAGUUUCAGAGGAAACAGGUAAGUCCGUUUUUCCUCUUCUAUUCCUUCCAAAAUACCGGUCCGUUGACCGACAAUUUAACUAGAAUCGGGUAGAACGAAAAUUUGUGACCAAUUGCGUUCCAAAAGCGGAUGUGGACGUUGAGGGAUGUAAUAUUCACUUUUUGUUACCGCCACCUAGUGGUGCCCCAAGGUUAACGCAUGUUAAUUAUAGUGGUGAGAGGCCGCUAAAUGAAUUUGAUUUUCAUCCAGUGGACGGGACAGAUGUGUGGAAUGCGUUGAAUCCAAUUAAAUCUAACGCUGUCGGAGCUGAUGGGGUUCCACUAAGAUUUUUAAGAUUGAUAUUUCCUCUCAUUUCAAGAUUAAUUGUACCCUUAUUCAAUAAUAUACUGAUGACUUCCUCCUAUCCAGAUGCUUGGAAAAUUGCAAGGGUAGUGCCCAUACCAAAAAUUAGCAGACCGACAACGCCAAGCGACUUUAGGCCCAUUAGCAUUCUACCGGUGUUCUCCAAGAUCUUUGAGAUUUUAUUGAAUAGACAGAUUGUUGUUAGUCAAACUGUAACAAGAUUAUUUUCAAAUUUUGAAUUUGGCUUUAAGAGACACUUUAGCACAACAACACUGAUGGCAAGUUUAAUGGAUGAAGUGAGAAGGAAUAUUGAUCUUAACUAGUUAGGGUCAAGAACCCAGGUCAUGCGUCAAAGGGCCAACCGAUUGGCGGCUAACACCCUCCCCAGACCGUUCGCCAACCCGAGAUCAUACGUGGUGAUCCUGACCACCAAUCUGGAGAUGCGUACCAGAGUCAUCGUCACCGGAUACUGCGUUACCGGCUUAUUCACCGCGGUGAAUCUGCCUUGUGUCUUCCACCCACUGUGAUUCCAUCCGCUAUAACCGUCCUCUGGCCGCUCAUAUUCCUCAUUCGUCCUCCCACCUUACUACGAUGUGCAUCCUAAUGUCAUAGUUUCGCUGGGGCACAGGGGGGUAGGCUCCGGAGGUCUAUGACACGUCACAAGUUGGCCGCCCAUUGACGUCAGCACACGUUGGAAUCACAACCUGAGGGAGCUUCUGCGGUACUCUGGUCACGAAAACUCUGGCGCCCAUCUCCAAGGUCCGGUGUAGAAGGUUCAUCACUGACCUUUCGGUCGGUAAACAAAGUGGGGAAUGCCACAGCCGCCCAUCAAGCCGAAUUGCUUGAAACACCGCGCUUUGCGGGUAGGGAGAUAACUAGAAGAAAUAAAACAACAACUGAAAGAAAAAGAUAAAAUAAGGGCUCAAAAAAACCCAAAACUAAAACAAGAAAAAUCUGGCUCAAGCCAAAAAGAAACGAUAUACCAAUUCGGUGUUAGAAAAAAGAAAGAAGACAAAAAAAAAAAAAAAAAAAAAAAAAAAAAUAUUGCCAAGAGCGCUACGCCACUCUGGCUUUGGGACACUAUGCUAUCCCAUUCGAUUUAUAAAAAUAAAAUUCACUGAUUACCACUAUCUUAACCUAUUUAAAAAAAAAAAAAAAAAUAA
This is a long non-coding RNA of Stomoxys calcitrans (stable fly), 1762 nucleotides long. RefSeq lists it as uncharacterized. Lineage: Eukaryota; Metazoa; Arthropoda; Insecta; Diptera; Muscidae. The record is from RefSeq and is a predicted model, not a curated record. The transcript is spliced from 3 exons.